Falco peregrinus (peregrine falcon) is the source of this 1285-nucleotide long non-coding RNA. RefSeq lists it as uncharacterized. The transcript has 2 exons. NCBI's taxonomy places the organism in Eukaryota, Metazoa, Chordata, Aves, Falconiformes, Falconidae. The record is from RefSeq and is a predicted model, not a curated record.
GGUGGGUUCAUUUCCGGCCCGCGCGGCACCCUGGGGCGGCUGUGGCGGAGCGGGGCUUUCGCCGGGAGCCUGGAAGACUUUCGGGCCGGGGCGUGCGCCGGCGCGCUGGGUUCAUCUGGAAUUGUACGUUGACAAAUCAAGGGGAGCUAAACUGAAGGUCAAUCUAGAUGUUACUUUUCCACAUGUGCCUUGUGCUUGUGAGUCAGACUGCUGCCUGUGAAGGGAUAACUUUUGUACUUAGGGGUAGGGACAUGCAUGACUUCUGCCUACUAGAUGCUUUAAUCACUCCUACCAUCAUGCAGAUGAUUGUUCCUGAGUUGUCAAGGAAGUUGGUAGUAAAGACAGUAGCAACAGCAUAGGAGGCAGUAAGAUUUUCACUGCUGCAGCCUCAUAUUUGAUGUCCUACACUAAAAGCAUAAAGAAAAUCUGAGAUAAAGUGAUAAGUUGUGUGCAAUUACAUAGAUGAACUGAAAACUUAAAGCCAACACAGGAAAACACAAAGUGGUAUGCAUUUUUCAAAGAAAAGACAAGGUUUGAGUCUGAAAUAUGGACUCUUGCUUAUAAUUUUGGUUAAAAGCCAUAGAAAAUAGGCUAAGGGAGAGGAAAGAAUUGCCUAUUUCAGCAUUUGUAAUCUGUCAAGGUGUUAGGAAAAUUAACACUACCACAGAAUAUACAAAAGAAAGACAUAAUAUUUUAGCUUGGUGACUCCAUAAACUGCCUGAUUCCACAUAUGUGCUCCUAUUUGCUUCUUAAGAUGUUAUUUUCUUUUUUAAGAUGGAUACAAUGAUGUUUGUGUUAUCACUUCAUUCACAGUGCAUUUCUUCAGAAUAUGCUCCUUUGGAAAAAGAAAGUCAUUACCAAUUUGUAUCUUUCCUGGUGGCUGAUCUCACAGCUCUUAAAUCACAUUGAAGGAAGAAUGUGAAUCUUCAGACUUGUUUGCAGAAUGGGGUGGGGGUGUGUGUCUUUCCUUUGAUAUUUGGAGGCAUAGCAACAGAUUACUCUCCUCAAGAGCAUUCAGAAAAUGGUUUUACUUAAGUGAUCUAUGAUCACUCAACUCAACAAAGUAAAAAACCCUAGUGCCACAAGCCUCUAAAUACAUAUGCAUGUAACUGCAUUUGAGCGCACUGUUAAAACCAGUGGUCCUACCUCUAAAUAUAAAAGUUAAGGAGGAAGAGAAGUUUGUGGUGCAGAGGGUGUGAACUCAUAAGGGUGUUCCUACAGAUUCUGUAUAUGGGAGAAGUGUUUUAUUUAAAUGCGUCUGGACAAUAAAACUGUAGUAAAACCA